RNAcentral lists this ribosomal RNA (454 nucleotides) under uncultured bacterium. RNAcentral describes it as "partial 16S ribosomal RNA". It matches the Rfam family "Bacterial small subunit ribosomal RNA", at positions 28 to 507 of the family's 1533-position model. The record is from RNAcentral.
GAUGAACGCUGACAGAAUGCUUAACACAUGCAAGUCUACUUGAACUUCGGUUUGGGUGGCGGACGGGUGAGUAACGCGUAAAGAACUUGCCUCACAGAUAGGGACAACAUUUGGAAACGAAUGCUAAUACCUGAUAUUAUGAUUUUAGGGCAUCCUAGAAUUAUGAAAGCUAUAUGCACUGUGAGAGAGCUUUGCGUCCCAUUAGCUAGUUGGAGAGGUAACGGCUCACCAAGGCGAUGAUGGGUAGCCGGCCUGAGAGGGUGAUCGGCCACAAGGGGACUGAGACACGGCCCUUACUCCUACGGGAGGCAGCAGUGGGGAAUAUUGGACAAUGGACCAAGAGUCUGGUCCAGCAAUUCUGUGUGCACGAUGAAGUUUUUCGGAAUGUAAAGUGCUUUCAGUUGGGAAGAAAAAAAUGACGGUACCAACAGAAGAAGAGACGGCUAAAUACGUG